UUAAAUUGAAGAGUUUGAUCAUGGCUCAGAUUGAACGCUGGCGGCAGGCUUAACACAUGCAAGUCGAGCGGUAGCACAGAGAGCUUGCUCUCGGGUGACGAGCGGCGGACGGGUGAGUAAUGUCUGGGA
Molecule: ribosomal RNA, 129 nt
Filed under: Acinetobacter baumannii
Lineage: Bacteria; Pseudomonadati; Pseudomonadota; Gammaproteobacteria; Moraxellales; Moraxellaceae
Description: partial 16S ribosomal RNA
Rfam family: Bacterial small subunit ribosomal RNA
Source: RNAcentral